GCCUGGGUGGCUCAGUCAGUUGAGCGUCUGGCUUCAGCUCAGGUCAUGAUCUCACAGUUUGUGGGUUCGAGCCCCGCAUCGGGCU
RNAcentral lists this transfer RNA (85 nucleotides) under Felis catus (domestic cat). It matches the Rfam family "tRNA". From Rfam's summary of the family: Transfer RNA (tRNA) molecules are approximately 80 nucleotides in length. Their secondary structure includes four short double-helical elements and three loops (D, anti-codon, and T loops). Lineage: Eukaryota; Metazoa; Chordata; Mammalia; Carnivora; Felidae. The record is from Rfam by way of RNAcentral. RNAcentral also lists the same sequence under 1 other name.